Non-coding RNA from Parelaphostrongylus tenuis, 71 nucleotides. The record is from the annotation of a GenBank genome assembly. Lineage: Eukaryota; Metazoa; Nematoda; Chromadorea; Rhabditida; Metastrongylidae.
GCAUCGGUAGUGCAAUGGUUACCAUAUGCUCCCUUAAAGAUGAGAUCUGGGUUCGAAUCCCGGCUGAUGCG